This 253-nucleotide ribosomal RNA is filed under the name uncultured bacterium. RNAcentral describes it as "partial 16S ribosomal RNA". It matches the Rfam family "Bacterial small subunit ribosomal RNA", at positions 524 to 776 of the family's 1533-position model. The record is from RNAcentral.
GACGAACCGAGCGAACGUUAUUCGGAAUCACUGGGCUUAAAGGGCGCGUAGGCGGGCCGUCAAGUCAGGGGUGAAAGCCUCCAGCUCAACUGGAGAAGUGCCUCUGAUACUGGCGGCCUCGAGCGAGGUAGGGGCGUGCGGAACUUCCGGUGGAGCGGUGAAAUGCGUAGAUAUCGGAAGGAACAUCGGUGGCGAAAGCGGCGCGCUGGACCUCUUCUGACGCUGAGGCGCGAAAGCCAGGGGAGCGAACGGG